GCCGCGCCCUGCGCUAGAAGCGUGGCAGCGGGCCGGCACGGCGGCGGGGGCCGGGCCGCGCAGGGCGGGCGGCGCCCCGCUAUGGCCCUGGGUGCCGGCAGAAGCGGCGGCGGGGGGCAGCGGCGAUCGGCGUGAGCGCGCCGGGGGCUGGCCGCGCUGCAUGGGGGCGGGGGUCGGUCGCCAUGGAGGGGGUGCUGUACAAGUGGACCAACUACCUGAGCGAUGAGGAAGUGCAGGGAGCUCAGUGCAGAAGGAAGUUUAUCAGAACAGCCUGGGACAGCUCAGCAAGGUGACAGGCAGCUGGAAAUAAGAUCUCUUGACUCAGUCCUGUGUUAUGACCGUUUGAGAUGCAUCCUUUAACUGGAAAACCUAAUUUUCUUCAUCAUUGGAAGGCAGGCGUUUUGUAAGUAACAGUUACAUGAUAAGAAGAUGGUGUAUUCUGGGCAGUAGCUACUACCUGAACAAUGAGGGGCAGGCUGGGUUUUAGCAAAGAUCCAAACUUUAUAUUACAUUCAUAGGCUUGCAUUAGCACUGGCAACUUAGCAUUUCACUUGUGUUUCGCAAGCUAGCAGCACUGCCUUGGGCUUGUUUGAGCUUUUCCGGCAGCUCUCAUCAGGCUAUCAGUCAUGGCCGUGACGCCUUGGGUGUUGGGAGAUAAAAUGGUGGGUGGAGGCAUGUUGAACAGUGCUUACCCAGCGCAAGGUGGGAUGAAGAGAUGGAUGUUGCUUGCACUUGCUGUGAGGUGUCUCUUGUGACUUUGCAAAGAACAAGUGCUGUGGGCUGCCACAAAGUCAUGGCCUGGGAUAUUAGCAGUGGGGAUGUGGUGUAGGCUCCUGUCAGGUGGAUGUUGCUGUAAUGUGGAAGGUUCGUAGUUAUCUCCUAUCCACACUUAAAAUCUGAAUUCGGGUCUAAGAACUCCAAGGAUGAUAUAUUGUAUAUGUUCUUCUAAAGACUCAUGUUGAAGCUCAAGAAAUUACUAAGCAUAAAGUAUUAGAAAAUUCUCCUGGAGAGCAAGUAGUAAUAAAAGCCUGUGUGUCUCGCCUUUGUGCCUUUUAGAAAUGCAACUGGAACUGGCAUCUCUUAAUUGCAGCUUGUUUUCCAGGUCAUCAGUUUGACUUCCUGAGUAUGUAAUUCUCC
Molecule: long non-coding RNA, 1137 nt
Filed under: Pavo cristatus (Indian peafowl)
Lineage: Eukaryota; Metazoa; Chordata; Aves; Galliformes; Phasianidae
Description: lncRNA (ENSPSTG00000014411.1)
Source: RNAcentral